RNAcentral lists this RNase P RNA (312 nucleotides) under Abyssalbus ytuae. RNAcentral's name for it is "Bacterial RNase P class A". It matches the Rfam family "Bacterial RNase P class A". From Rfam's summary of the family: Ribonuclease P (RNase P) is a ubiquitous endoribonuclease, found in archaea, bacteria and eukarya as well as chloroplasts and mitochondria. Its best characterised activity is the generation of mature 5'-ends of tRNAs by cleaving the 5'-leader elements of precursor-tRNAs. Cellular RNase Ps are ribonucleoproteins. Lineage: Bacteria; Pseudomonadati; Bacteroidota; Flavobacteriia; Flavobacteriales; Flavobacteriaceae. The record is from Rfam by way of RNAcentral.
CUGGCAGGCUGCCUUAUCGCUCAAAAAUUUUGGGAGGAAAGUCCGGACACCAUAGCGUAGCAUAGCGGGUAACACCCGUCACCAUAUAGUUUUAUAUGGUAGGACCAGUGCAACAGAAAGUAUGUACAGAUAAUGCUGUAGUGAAAUCAGGUAAACUCUAUGCGGUGCAACGCCAUGUAAACCCGUGCUUAAGGGUUACGCGCUCGAUGCGGGAGGGUAGGCGGUUAGAAGUAAUUGGCAACGAUUACUCCAGAUAAAUGAUAAGGACACAAUAUUGUGGUACAGAAUCCGGCUUACAGGCCUGCUUUCUUU